Coffea arabica (coffee) is the source of this 3988-nucleotide non-coding RNA. The record is from RefSeq and is a predicted model, not a curated record. Lineage: Eukaryota; Viridiplantae; Streptophyta; Magnoliopsida; Gentianales; Rubiaceae.
AGCACUUCAUUAUAGAGGUCCUCAUUCCUAUUGCACGCCUUAGUUAGUUAUGUCCGGGCAAAAACUGAAGCUGUUCUAGGAUGUAGCAGGCACAGGACAUGACUGCCUCCUCGGCCUGCCUAUAUUUCAGUUAUCAAACCUGGCCUGUUAGUAAAGAAUGGAAGUCAAGAUACCCCAUCUAACUCCAACGCCUCAACAAAGAAUUCUGACACCUCCCAAAAGAAUUCGCUUUCCACCCAACAAACCAACCUUUAAAAAAAUUGUCACAGUGCCGACUUCUUCUCCAUCCAAUUCCUCAAUUCAAAUUCAUCUUCCUCUUCGACGACCCCAACACAAACCCAUCCAGAAAACCCACAAAAAUUCCAAUGAUUGUAAACCCAGCAAUCGUUCUACAGUGUCAGACGUUUUAGGCUUGUUGGACUGUCUUAAAAUCCCCGUUUCUCUCGACCUUUAUACUUCAUUUAUCGAUGAAUGUACAAAAAGUGGUGACCCCUUACUAGCAAUUGAACUCCAUAACCAUAUUAAGACGAGUUGUCUACGCCCUUCGUUGUCGAUAUUUAAUCGCCUGCUGUUGAUGUAUGUUUCGUGUAACUUGAUUGGAUAUGCACGGGAACUGUUUGAUAAAAUGACUGUGAGAAGUUCUUGUACUUGGGCUGUAAUGGUUGCUGGGUAUUUCGAAAAUGGUGAUUAUGGGGAGGUUAUUGAUCUGUUUUUGGAAAUGCGGUGUUCGGAGCGAGCUAAAGUUGAUGGUGAUAUGGAUGACAUAGUGGCUUCUGCUAUAGUUGUGUGUGUUCUUAAGGCUUGUGCUAAAACAGUGAAUGUGGAACUUGGCAAACAGGUACACGCUUGGGUUGUGAAGAUGGGUUAUGGCGAGAAUCUGGUUUUCAGUGGCUGUUUAAUGAGCUUUUAUGGGAAAGCAGGGUGUCUAGAAGGUUCUGACCAGGUUUUUGAUCAGGUUCCAUAUCGGAAUAAGGUGAUAUGGACAACUAAGAUUGUUAAUCAUUGCUACGAGGAGCAGUUUGAUGAGGCAUUUGAUGUGUUCAAACAAAUGGGGAGGGAGGGUGUAAAGAAGAAUAGUUAUACUUUUUCAAGUGUUCUCAAAGCAUGUGCGAGUAUGAGGGAUGGCAGAUGUUGUGGUCAACAAAUACAUGCAAAUGUUGUCAAGUUAGGACUGGAGCUUAAUGAGCAUGUACAGUGUGGGUUGGUUAACAUGUACGGUAAAGGCGGGUUAAUAAAGGACGCGCAGAAAGUUUUCAAGAUUUGUGGAAACAAUAGAAAUGUUGCUUGCUGGAAUGCAAUGCUUACUGGUUAUAUACAACAAGGGUUUGGCAUUGAAGCCUUUAGAAUCAUAUGUGAUAUGAAGGCAGCCGGCUUGCAACCCCAAGAAUCAUUACUCAAUGAAGUGAGGUUCAUUUGUGGGAGUACUUUGAUUGAGAAUACAAAAAGGUAGAUAUGAUUACUGGAGUGAUGAUUGCUAUUGGUUUUUGAAAGCAGAUUAGAAUCCUGCUUUGCACAUAUUUAUAUCAAGCUAAUGACAUUAUUGUGGCAUAUCAUAGCCGGACUAUUGAUGGAAGAUGUUUUCUGAUUCCUACUGAUAUUCUUUGAAGAGGAUUUGAAUAUUAUCUCCCUGAAAGAGUUCCCAUGCAACUAGCACAAACAUGUGCUGACUGUCUUGCCUAACUUUCGUCGACUUUAGAGGGACGUGAAUCCGCUUAUUUACAUGUAGAUAUAUGGAAAUUUCUGUCCAAGUACCAUAGUCAUUUCCUUUAUGGGUUAGUUUACAGACACAUCAUCACUGUAGAGACUGAUGUAGUGAUUGGAUCAAAGCAAUGAACUACUCAAUUUUGACUGAUGCAGGGUCUAGAAGCUUCUGUAUCAGCCAGUAAAAUGGUGUGGGCUGCCACACUUGGGUAGCUUUCUUUUUUUCCUUUAAGCACCUUUGAUAUAUAGACUGGCAAAAUUACUUGGUGUAAAAUUUGUUUGUACAUGGUUGUGGUAGUUGUGCUGCUAAAACAUAAUAAUGAUGCUGGAGUUUAGUUAUCUUUGUUGGUUGUGCUCCUGUACCCCAAUUCAACCACUUUCUAUGUGCAAAGCAAUAGUCAGCAAAUGCUCACUCAAUGUGCUUCCUCUAUAAAAGUGCUCUCUAAGUGGCUAUGCCGCUCUUCUUAUUUGUCAAGAAUUUUUGGUCUACAAGUAUCUAGAUCAAUUAGGAUCAGGCCAAGGUAGUUGAUCCAGAUGCUUUUAAAAUUCCUCCAUGACUAUUUCCGCCCUUCAGAUUGCUGCAUAAGAACAGUUUACCAAUAUUUAGAUGUGGCAGGAUCUACAAAAUAGCUUAUUAGUGAGAAUAAAGCUACAGUCUGGGUAUUUGAAUGUCUGUCCAGAUCUAUUGUGUAACUUUUUUAAGUAACAUUUAUACCUUCAUUGAUUUUCCCUUUCGUUUCUACACAUGGCACUGGUAUGCUUUUUUCCUGAAUUUGGAGAUGAAUUAAGCAGCCCAAUCAUUCAGCAACUUCGUUUCUGAGUGUUUCUGCAUUCAGUAAGAAUGAUAAGAAAAUUCACCAGAGCGCUACCAAGCUAGUUGAAUCUUCCUUAUUUUUUGAGCAUGUUUGCAUCAUUCUGCAUUUAUUUAAUGUUGAGUGUAGCCUGUCUGUCUUUGUUGGUCGGUCUUUCUGCAAGGGAAGGCCUUGUUCUUACAAUUAAAAGGACAGUUCUAAGUACUUUGAUUUUGAAAUCUGGUUGAUUAGCCAAGGUACUGGCAUUUGCAUUUUAGUAGUUUUUUUUUUCCCUGUAGCAUAUUGGUGAGUUUACAUUGCGACUUCAGGAUCCAGUGUAAGUAUAUGCUAUGCUACAGCCCAUAUCCAUACUGUUCAACUGGAGAAAAAGAGGAUAACCACGAGGAAAGCAGAUAGAAUUGCUAACUAAAUUAAGACGCCUUUAUGAUCUGUACCAGUUAUGAUGGUCAAGUAUUUCUGCUCUUAAACAAUUAGCAGCUUCUGAUGCUGUACUCUGUCUAUAGCAGUGACUUUAGCAACUUUCAUGAGUAGCAUCUAUCAGUCUUGCUUUUAGAGAGCCUAGCUGCAGGAGCAUAUCGGGGCCUUGCCCACCUGGGAACCCAUCAACACUGUUGGUAAGCAACUUGUUGGCUGUUCAACAAGCUGCUGCAAGGAAUACUGCAAUUCCUGAACAAAAUUCAACAGAGACUAUGACUUCCAACUUGGUAGGACUGCAAACUACUGCUCAUGCUACCCUGAGAGCUGAAAUAUCUUCAUCCAACUUGCUGGUGCCCACGCCAACAUCUCAACCUUCUGCAAUGCUGGUUAUUGCCCAUUCUUCAGCUAUCUCGUGAACUGGGACCACUGCAGCAUAUUCCCCAUCUUCACGGAAACUAACAAUGACCGGUUCCUCUGAGACCCUAUCAGGACCUUACCAUCCAUCAAUGCUUUCAACCAGUCAUUGGAGGCCACACCAUCCCAAACAUCUGUUUGUCAGAAAACUUCUAUGUGUGACAUGGAGUAAGGGCACCUGCUGCACAUGUACGACACAAUAUAUGCUUCAGUAGUUGUACAUCCAAAGUCCAGCCCCAGAUGCGCGUAACUUCAGUUAUCAAUAUACCAUUCAGUGUGCAGGUGACAUGAUUUGAGCUCAAUUCAGUGUGCAGGUGACCUGCUGCACACCAUUCAGUGUGCAGGUGACAUGAUUUGUGCUCAAUAUACCCCAGGAUUGCUGAAAUGCUAUAUCUGAACCACCUGGUAGGAUUAUCUAUUGGUGAGUACUGGUGGGUUGUCCGAUGGAUGGUGAAUCCUUCAUGGAUUUAGGUUAAGAUUUGUAGAGAUUCUUUUAUAAGAUAAUCUCUGUUGUCUGUGCUUUCUUUUUCGGCACCAGAUUAAUUUAUUGCUUCUCUAGGUGGGUGGUAAUUGAUGUCUUGCUCACUGAAAAGAAUAUAAGGAAGGAAACGCAACGCAAUUUACUUUUGUUGUUGCUUAUCUAA